Molecule: ribosomal RNA, 450 nt
Filed under: uncultured bacterium
Lineage: Bacteria
Description: bacterial SSU rRNA
Rfam family: Bacterial small subunit ribosomal RNA
Source: RNAcentral
UAGGGAAUUUUCCACAAUGGACGAAAGUCUGAUGGAGCGACGCCGCGUGCAGGAUGAAGGCCCUCGGGUUGUAAACUGCGGUAGUAGGGGAGGAACGCAAGUGACUGUACCCUACGGAAAGUGGUUGGUAACUACGUGCCAGCACCAGCGGUAAUACGUAGACCACAAGCGUUAUCCGGAUUUAUUGGGCGUAAAGAGCAUGUAGGAGGUCCGGUGCGUCUCUGGUUAAAGCCCACCGCCUAACGGUGGAAGUGCCAGAGAUACGAUCGGACUGGAGGAUGUGAGAGGUGCAUGGAACUCACGGUGUAGGGGUGAAAUCCGUUGAUAUCGUGGGGAACACCAAAGGCGAAGGCAGUGCACUGGUACAUUCCUGACUCUGAGAUGCGAAAGCGUGGGGAGCAAAAAGGAUUAGAUACCCUGGUAGUCCCUGAGCGGGCUGGCAAGGCGCAU